Molecule: long non-coding RNA, 958 nt
Organism: Felis catus (domestic cat)
Lineage: Eukaryota; Metazoa; Chordata; Mammalia; Carnivora; Felidae
Exons: 3
Source: RefSeq, a predicted model, not a curated record
AGGCCACGCUGUUCGCGCUUCUCGCUUAAGGGAAGAGAAAGCUGGGAGAAGACCCAAGAGAAGUCAUGCCCACAUCCUCCCUCCAGCCGGCAGUUCUAGGGCUGCGGCUGCUUUCGCUUCCUUCUUAAUUUUUCUGACAAGAACAGAUGCCACCGCAGCUGACAACCAGCCUGUCGGUGUGAACGGGAAGGCAGGUCCGGCCACUCGUUUGUCUGGCCUAGUGCACAGACUUGCCAGAGCUGUGCCAGCUACAGGAGCACAAGGAGGGAGCAGUCACUCUCACUGUCCUCAAGGCUGAUGGCCCCUCAGAGCCUGGCACGAAGAGGGCUUUGACUUUGACGGAGCAGGACUCCGAAGCCCCGGCUGCCUGGGUGCCUUCGACCAAGUGAACUGCACAAGGUCCUGAGCUCCACAUCUGUAAACCCGGGCGCGGACAGCACCUGCUCCGUUGGGGGCUGGGAGGACUGAGCUCACACCGGUAAGCACUCUGACACAGAGCCUGGCCCACAGCCGGCCAGCUCCUUCUCCCUACCCCCAGCUUCCUCGCCAACCCCGGGGAGCCUCGACGCUCCUGUCAUUCCUCACACCCCCUCACAAUCCAGAAGUGCCCCUGGAGGUCUAACCACUGUCCCUCCUGCUGCAGGGCUCUUGUCAUCCACGGCAGCCCUUUGCACGCACGUGCGGAUGCGUUCCACGCUGCGCUCACGCCCCUUCUGCCUCAGCCCCCGCAGGAGGGGUGUGGACACUCUGAGACCCUGGUCUCAGAGGAGGGAAGAGCUCGGCUUGGGUGAAACGGCUCCCGGCCCCAAACCAGGCUGAUGCUUCCCCCUGGUUAACAACUGCGGUCCAGGCAGCGGCCCCAGCCCCUGCUAAUUACCAUGAUUAGCACUGAGCAAGCUGCUGCAUUUUAUGACUCUCCAAACCAAAAAAAAAUAAUUAAAGCAAUUACUGUCAUUAA